UUCAAGAAAGAACUAAAGGAGUCUCAAGAACGAAGGAAAGGAAGCAACGAUGAAUGAAAGAAGCCAAACCAGGGGAUGCAUAACUCAAGAAUCACAACACGCUGUGAAUAAUUCUCAAAGGAAGCCCAAGCUUCUUUUUCUCCCACUUGCUUUGUCAGGCAGCAGCAUCUCUCAGAUGUUCCCUGUCCUGAAUGGAACAUGCUUCAUGCAUGUUAGGAGCUUCAUGCUUCUGUUGUUUCUCAAUGCCUGUGGGAGGCAGCAUCAUCCCUAAGAUGGUGGCUCUCUUGAAUGGAACAUGCUUCAUGCAUGUUAGGAGCUUCAUGCUUCUGUAGUUUCUCAAUGCCUGUGGAAGGCAGCAUCAUCCCUAAGAUGGUGGCUCUCUUGAAUGGAACACGCUUCAUGCAUGUUCCAUUCUGCCCUCUGAAGAAUGGUUUGGCAAGAAGAAACAGAAUUGGCACACCUUUCUUGAAGACCUCCAUGCCUGGAUGUUGACGUUGGAACCUUUUCUCCUCCCAAGUGGCCUCCGUGGCAGAUUUCAAGAAAGAACUAAAGGAGUCUCAAGAACGAAGGAAAGGAAGCAACGAUGAAUGACAGAAGUGAAACCAGGGGAUACAUAACUCAAGAAUCACAACACGCUGUGAAUAAUUUUCAAAGGAAGCCCAAGGUUCUUUUUCUCCCACUUGCUUUGUCAGGCAGCAUCCAUCUCUCAGAUGGUCCCUGUCCUGAAUGGAACAUGCUUCAUGCAUGUUAGGAGCUUCACGCUUCUGUAGUCCUGAAUGGAACAUGCUUCAUGCAUGUUAGGAGCUUCACGCUUCUGUAGUUUCUCAAUGCCUGUGGGAGGCAGCAUCAUCUCUAAGAUGGUGGCUGUCCGGAAUGGAACAUGCUUCAUGGAUGGUUAGGAGCUUCAUGCUUCUGUAGUUCAUCAAUGCCUGUGGGAGGCAGCAUCAUCUCUAAGAUGGUGGCUCUCUUGAAUGGAACAUGCUUCAUGCAUGUUAGGAGCUUCACGCUUCUGUAGUUUCUCAAUGCCUGUGGGAGGCAGCAUCAUCUCUAAGAUGGUGGCUGUCCGGAAUGGAACAGGCUUCAUGGAUGGUUAGGAGCUUCAUGCUUCUGUAGUUCAUCAAUGCCUGUGGGAGGCAGCAUCAUCUCUAAGAUGGUGGCUCUCUUGAAUGGAACAUGCUUCAUGCAUGUUAGGAGCUUCACGCUUCUGUAUUUUCCCAAUGCCUGUGGGAGGCAGCAUCAUCUCUAAGAUGGUGGCUCUCUUGAAUGGAAGAUGCUUAACGCAUGUUAGGAGCUUCAUGCUUCUGUAGUUUCUCAAUGCCUGUGGGAGGCAGCAUCAUCUCUAAGAUGGUGGCUCUCUUGAAUGGAACAUGCUUCAUGCAUGUUAGGAGCUUCACGCUUCUGUAUUUUCCCAAUGCCUGUGGGAGGCAGCAUCAUCUCUAAGAUGGUGGCUCUCUUGAAUGGAACAUGCUUCAUGCAUGUUAGGAGCUUCAUGCUUCUGUAUUUUCCCAAUGCCUGUGGGAGGCAGCAUCAUCUCUAAGAUGGUGGCUCUCUUGAAUGGAACAUGCUUCAUGUAUGUUAGGAGCUUCAUGCUUCUGUAUUUUCCCAAUGCCUGUGGGAGGCAGCAUCAUCUCUAAGAUGGUGGCUCUCUUGAAUGGAACAUGCUUAACGCAUGUUAGGAGCUUCAUGCUUCUGUAGUUUCUCAAUGCCUGUGGGAGGCAGCAUCAUCUCUAAGAUGGUGGCUCUCUUGAAUGGAACAUGUUUCAUGCAUGUUAGGAGCUUCAUGCUUCUGUAGUUUCUCAAUGCCUGUGGGAGGCAGCAUCAUCUCUAAGAUGGUGGCUCUCUUGAAUGGAACAUGCUUCAUGCAUGUUAGGAGCUUCAUGCUUCUGUAUUUUCCCAAUGCCUGUGGGAGGCAGCAUCAUCUCUAAGAUGGUGGCUGUCUUGAAUGGAACAUGCUUCAUGUAUGUUAGGAGCUUCAUGCUUCUGUAGUUUCUCAGUGCCUGUGGGAGGCAGCAUCAUCUCUAAGAUGGUGGCUCUCUUGAAUGGAACAUGCUUCAUGCAUGUUAGGAGCUUCAUGCUUCUGAAGUUUCUCAAUGCCUGUGGGAGGCAGCAUCAUCUCUAAGAUGGUGGCUCUCUUGAAUGGAACAUGCUUCAUGCAUGUUAGGAGCUUCACGCUUCUGAAGUUUCUCAAUGCCUGUGGGAGGCAGCAUCAUCUCUAAGAUGGUGGCUCUCUUGAAUGGAACAUGCUUCAUGCAUGUUAGGAGCUUCACGCUUCUGAAGUUUCUCAAUGCCUGUGGGAGGCAGCAUCAUCCCUAAGAUGGUGGCUCUCUUGAAUGGAACAUGCUUCAUGCAUGUUAGGAGCUUCACGCUUCUGUAGUUUCUCAAUGCCUGUGGGAGGCAGCAUCAUCCCUAAGAUGGUGGCUCUCUUGAAUGGAACAUGCUUCAUGCAUGUUAGGAGCUUCACGCUUCUCUAGUUUCUCAAUGCCUGUGGGAGGCAGCAUCAUCCCUAAGAUGGUGGCUCUCUUGAAUGGAACAUGCUUCACGCAUGUUAGGAGCUUCAUGCUUCUCUAGUUUCUCAAUGCCUGUAAGAGGCAGCAUCAUCCCUAAGAUGGUGGCUUUAUUGUAUGGAACAUGUUUCAUGCAUGUUCCAUUCUGCGCUCUGAAGAAUGCUUUGAGGAGAAGAAACAGAAUUGGCGCACCUUCUUCAAGGACCUCCAUGCCUGAACGUGGAUGUGGAAACGUUUUCUCCUCCCAAGCGGCCUCUGUGGCAGAUUUCAAGAAAGAACUAAAAGAAACUGAAGAAAGAACGAAAGGAAGCAACAAUGCACGACAGACGCCAAACCAGGGGCUCCAUUGACAGAUGUUCCCUGUCCUGAAUGCAACAUGCUUCAUGCGUGUUAGGAGCUUCAGGCUUCUAUAUUUUCCCAAUGGCUGUGGGAGGCAGCAUCAUCCCUAAGAUGGUGGCUCUCUUGAAUGGAACAUGCUUCAUGCAUGUUCCAUUCUGCCCUCUGAAGAAUGGUUUGGCAAGAAGAAACAGAACUGGCGCACCUUCUUCAAGGACCUCCAUGCCUGAACGUGGAUGUGGAAACGUUUUCUCCUCCGAAGUGGCCUCUGUGGCAGAUUUCAAGAAAGAACAAAAGGAAGCAACAAUGCAUGACAGAAGCCAAACCAGGGUCUGCAUUGAUAGAUGGCCCCUGUCCUGAAUGCAACAUGCUUCAUGCGUGUUAGGAGCUUCAGGCUUCUGUAUUUUCCCAAUGCCUGUGGGAGGCAGCAUCAUCCCUAAGAUGGUGGCUCUCUUGAAUGGAACAUGCUUCAUGCAUGUUCCAUUCUGCCCUCUGAAGAAUGGUUUGGCAAGAAGAAACAGAACUGGCGCACCUUCUUCAAGGACCUCCAUGCCUGAACGUGGAUGUGGAAACGUUUUCUCCUCCGAAGUGGCCACUGUGGCAGGUAAGACUGAAAGGGAAGGAUGGGAGGGACCAAUAAAAAUAUAUAUAUGUCAACGAGGGCUGUAUUAACUCCUAUUUGAAUGUUCUUACUUGCUUAUAAAGAUCUUGAAUAUACAGUUUCAAGUGCUCUAUUUAAAUUUGUCUCCCUAGCAGAUGUUCCUCUUGAGUUUUGCACAGGCCUAUUGAAAAGUGAUCUUACUAAACAAAUGUAGGGACGCAGGAGCUGAGGUCCUGCGGUCAGGGUGAUGUGCUGGCAACCUCUCCCCUGUAGCUGACACAGUGAGGCAGGGACGCAGGAGCUGAGGUCCUGCGGUCAGGGUGAUGUGCUGGCAACCUCUCCCCUGUAGCUGACACAGUGAGGCAGGGACGCAGGAGCUGAGGUCCUGCGGUCAGGGUGAU
Long non-coding RNA from Hemicordylus capensis (graceful crag lizard), 3842 nucleotides. RefSeq lists it as uncharacterized. The transcript is spliced from 4 exons. Lineage: Eukaryota; Metazoa; Chordata; Lepidosauria; Squamata; Cordylidae. The record is from RefSeq and is a predicted model, not a curated record.